CUUUUUUAAUACAGUGUUGGUCUCUGCUGUUGCUGCUGGAUCUCUGUUGAUUGUAGCUACAGUCGGGAUCUUCUGCAUCU
This is a long non-coding RNA of Sinocyclocheilus grahami, 80 nucleotides long. RefSeq lists it as uncharacterized. The transcript has 3 exons. Lineage: Eukaryota; Metazoa; Chordata; Actinopteri; Cypriniformes; Cyprinidae. The record is from RefSeq and is a predicted model, not a curated record.